RNAcentral lists this ribosomal RNA (465 nucleotides) under uncultured bacterium. Its description in RNAcentral is "partial 16S ribosomal RNA". It matches the Rfam family "Bacterial small subunit ribosomal RNA", at positions 338 to 795 of the family's 1533-position model. The record is from RNAcentral.
CCUACGGGGAGCAGCAGUAGGGAAUCUUCCACAAUGGGCGAAAGCCUGAUGGAGCAACGCCGCGUGGGUGAAGAAGGUCUUCGGAUCGUAAAACCCUGUUGUUAGAGAAGAAAGUGCGUGAGAGUAACUGUUCACGUUUCGACGGUAUCUAACCAGAAAGCCACGGCUAACUACGUGCCAGCAGCCGCGGUAAUACGUAGGUGGCAAGCGUUAUCCGGAUUUAUUGGGCGUAAAGGGAACGCAGGCGGUCUUUUAAGUCUGAUGUGAAAGCCUUCGGCUUAACCGGAGUAGUGCAUUGGAAUCUGGGAGACGUGAGUGCAGAAGAGGAGAGUGGAACUCCAUGUGUAGCGGUGAAAUGCGUAGAUAUAUGGAAGAACACCAGUGGCGAAAGCGGCUCUCUGGUCUGUAACUGACGCUGAGGUUCGAAAGCGUGGGUAGCAAACAGGAUUAGAUACCCCGGUAGUC